RNAcentral lists this ribosomal RNA (365 nucleotides) under uncultured Sphingobacteriales bacterium. Its description in RNAcentral is "bacterial SSU rRNA". It matches the Rfam family "Bacterial small subunit ribosomal RNA", at positions 1017 to 1382 of the family's 1533-position model. The record is from RNAcentral. Lineage: Bacteria; Pseudomonadati; Bacteroidota; Sphingobacteriia; Sphingobacteriales.
CCCUUCGGGCUUUCUGCAAGGUGCUGCAUGGUUGUCGUCAGCUCGUGCCGUGAGGUGUCGGGUUAAGUCCCAUAACGAGCGCAACCCUUAUCGUUAGUUGCCAUCUGGUAAUGCAGGGGACUCUAGCGAAACUGCCACCGUAAGGUGAGAGGAAGGUGGGGAUGACGUCAAAUCAGCACGGCCCUUAUGUCCAGGGCUACACACGUGUUACAAUGGUCGGUACAGAGGGCAGCUACCUGGUGACAGGAUGCUAAUCUCGAAAACCGGUCUCAGUUCGGAUCGAAGUCUGCAACUCGACUUCGUGAAGCUGGAUUCGCUAGUAAUCGCGCAUCAGCUAUGGCGCGGUGAAUACGUUCCCGGGCCUU